UAUUGGGCAAUGGGCGCAAGCCUGACCCAGCAACGCCGCGUGAAGGAAGAAGGCUUUCGGGUUGUAAACUUCUUUUGUCAGGGACGAAGCAAGUGACGGUACCUGACUAAGAAGCCCCGGCUAACUACGUGCCAGCAGCCGCGGUAAUACGUAGGGGGCAAGCGUUAUCCGGAUUUACUGGGUGUAAAGGGAGCGUAGGUGGCAGGGCAAGUCAGAUGUGAAAACCCGGGGCUCAACCCCGGGAGUGCAUUUGAAACUGUCCAGCUGGAGUGCAGGAGAGGUAAGCGGAAUUCCUAGUGUAGCGGUGAAAUGCAUAGAUAUUAGGAGGAACACCAGUGGCGAAGGCGGCUUACUGGACUGUAACUGACACUGAGGCUCGAAAGCGUGGGGAGCAAACAGG
This 400-nucleotide ribosomal RNA is filed under the name uncultured bacterium. RNAcentral's name for it is "bacterial SSU rRNA". It matches the Rfam family "Bacterial small subunit ribosomal RNA", at positions 362 to 776 of the family's 1533-position model. The record is from RNAcentral.